This 774-nucleotide ribosomal RNA is filed under the name uncultured Neocallimastigales. RNAcentral describes it as "partial large subunit ribosomal RNA". It matches the Rfam family "Eukaryotic large subunit ribosomal RNA", at positions 24 to 616 of the family's 3401-position model. The record is from RNAcentral. Lineage: Eukaryota; Fungi; Neocallimastigomycota; Neocallimastigomycetes; Neocallimastigales.
UAUGUGAUCGUCUCUCGCAUAUCAAUAAGCGGAGGAAAAGAAACUAACAAGGAUUCCCCUAGUAACGGCGAGUGAAGCGGGAAGAGCUCAAAUUUGAAAUCUUAAAGGGUUUCCCUUUACGAAUUGUAGUUUAAAGAAGUGUUUUCUGUUGAGGUUUUGGUAAAAGUUCUUUGGAAUAGGACAUCAUAGAGGGUGAGAAUCCCGUAUUUGACCUUUACUUUCAACUUUGUGAUACACUUUCAAAGAGUCGGAUUGUUUGGGAAUGCAGUCCAAAAUGGGUGGUAAAUUUCAUCUAAAGCUAAAUAUUGGCGAGAGACCGAUAGCGAACAAGUACCGUGAGGGAAAGAUGAAAGGAACUUUGAAAAGAGAGUUAAACAGUACGUGAAAUUGUCAAAAGGGAAGCGUUUGACACCAGUGUUGUUUUUCUGAAAAUCAAUUAAAGAACUGUUUAUGCUAAGCUGUUUAGACUUUAUCAGCUAUCUGUUUAGUUUUGAGCUUUCUCUUAAUGCACUUUUCAGUUAACAAGUCAACAUCAAUUUCUUUUGCUGUAAAAAAGCUUGAGGAAGGUGGCUUGAGAUUCGUCUUAAGUGUUUAUAGCCUCUUGCCUAUGCAGUCGGAGAGAUUGAGGUCUGCAGCGUAGAUCCUUCGGGGCUAAAUGCAUUUGUGCUAAGUUAUAGCAUUUUAUAGACAACUUGUUGACUAUGAUUUGUCUUGUAGCUUACUCGCUUAUGUUAUUUUACCUACGCUUAGGAUGUUGAGCGCAUGUCUCUCUCU